UCUCUCACAUCCGUACAGGAAGAGAAGCUCCUCAAGUAUACGAUGUUUUUGUUUAUUCUAUUUAUCAACCAGACGAAAAUACGGAGAAAGCUGCGCAUGUAUAAUAAAAAGGCUUAGAGAGGGUUUUCGUAUAGUACUCUUCUUUUAUUCGAUUUAGUUUAGUACUCUUCUUUUAAUUCCUCUUUCGCCAUUACAAUUUCUUCCUUUACUUAUGCUUGAUAGUAUAAGUUCAUGUUUGGUAACAAUUUGUACAAAGAUGUUUUGUUCUCAUAUCUAAUUCAUGCUGUUAACAAGCUCUACAUAUGUUCCAUGCUACGUAAACUUGGUACUUUUUGGGUUUCAGUUUCUCUUAAUGGCUCAUCAGAAUCACAGACGAUUCUCUCAUCAUCUGCUUUAAAAGCCGCACACAGGUAAGAUAGAUAUAAACACAAAGCGAUGGUGUUUAUUAAGAUAAGGUUAUCAAGAAAAUGAAAUAUAUAAGGGGAGCCUCUUGUUUUGGUGAUAAGAUCUUAUCCUCGAUUUAACCCACAGCCAUCAAUCCUUUCUUCAUCUACACCACUUGUUUUUUUAUUAUCCUUUCUUCAACCUAGGGUUAAAACCAAAUGUUGAUAAAACUUUUAGCGGCUAUUAAACAAUUGUGAGAUAAGUUGACCAAAAAAACAAUUGUGAGAUAAGUCGAACUUAGAUAUGCUAAGAUAAAAAUAACUUUCUUUUAACUAGUUGAAAUAACAGCAUUUGAGUAAUGUAUUGUGGAAUGUCUUCUUUUUUUGACAUCAAAAGGUAAAAAUGUGCAAUGUUAUGGUUAACAAG
RNAcentral lists this long non-coding RNA (810 nucleotides) under Brassica napus (rape). RNAcentral describes it as "long non-coding RNA (BNAP_LNC001088)". The record is from RNAcentral. Lineage: Eukaryota; Viridiplantae; Streptophyta; Magnoliopsida; Brassicales; Brassicaceae.